Molecule: ribosomal RNA, 425 nt
Filed under: uncultured bacterium
Lineage: Bacteria
Description: partial 16S ribosomal RNA
Rfam family: Bacterial small subunit ribosomal RNA
Source: RNAcentral
GUUAGGAAUAUUGGACAAUGGGCGCAAGCCUGAUCCAGCCAUGCCGCGUGAGUGAUGAAGGCCUUCGGGUUGUAAAGCUCUUUAGUCCACGAAUAUAAUGACUGUAGUGGAAGAAUAAGCCCCGGCUAACUUCGUGCCAGCAGCCGCGGUAAUACGAAGGGGGCGAGCGUUAUUCGGAAUCACUGGGCGUAAAGCGUGCGUAGGCUGUUUUGUAAGUCAGAAGUGAAAGCCCAGGGCUGAACCCUGGAAUUGCUUUUGAAACUACAAGACUCGAAUUCGGGAGAGGAUAGCGGAAUUGUCAGUGUAGCAGUGAAAUGCGUAGAUAUUGACAGGAACACCAGUGGCGCAAGCGGCUAUCUGGACCGAUAUUGACGCUGAGGCACGAAAGCGUGGGGAGCAAACAGGAUUAGAAACCCUGGUAGUCC